UGCCAUGAUGAUUCUCUAUCAUGUUCCUCGUACACUGCACCAGCACCACUGCUUCCCUUCCCAGUGAGAACCCGAUCAAGCUUUAUCAUGCAGCCCAGAAGGGUGGGGGAAAGAAAAAGAAUUAGGAGAAAAUGUUGUAAAAGUAAUGAGAUAAUAUGAGAAUGUGCUUUGGGAACUGCGAAUCUGGAGUCACUGGUCCAUGAGGAAUCUAGGAUAAGAAGAAGGAAGCUGUGAAGAAUGGUUGGCUAACAGUGCUGGCAAGGAAUUCAGAUCAACAUACCUCUCAAAAGAAUGGAAGUCUCUUAAACUCAGG
This 313-nucleotide long non-coding RNA is filed under the name Homo sapiens (human). RNAcentral describes it as "non-protein coding lnc-P2RY1-3:1". The record is from RNAcentral. Lineage: Eukaryota; Metazoa; Chordata; Mammalia; Primates; Hominidae.